Molecule: non-coding RNA, 1338 nt
Organism: Pelodiscus sinensis (Chinese soft-shelled turtle)
Lineage: Eukaryota; Metazoa; Chordata; Testudines; Trionychidae
Source: RefSeq, a predicted model, not a curated record
GUGGGAAGCUAUUCAGUGCCUGCAGUUCAGAUGUCCCUCCGCCCACUGUCAUGAUGCUCCUGCCUUGAAGCUGCUCCACUGGGAGCCUCCUGCUUGCUCUGCAGGCUUCGGUCCAUCAAACAGGAGAUCCUCUGCUAUAUUCUGGACAUCUCUGGGGAAAACCGGACAACUAUAACUAUUACCACUGCUGUAAAGCCGCAAAUCUCUGUGGUAUCUGCAGAAUCAAGAGCUUAAAUGCUUUGCUGAAUUGAAGCCAAAUUGUAUACUCUAUGAUGAUGUCUCUGAAAACAAUGUCCGGAACCUGCAUGAAGAAGAAGAAUUCUUCUGCCGACUCAAGCUGGCAACCAGACUAGAGAGGGCCUAUUAGGUCCAACUUCAGUCUGUGGAGAAGAGGCUGCGCUGAGGCGGACAGAUCAUCAUGCAGUUCUUCUCAAUUACGUUGUGAUUGCAACUUCUUGGGUAGCUAUUUAGACUACAAGAUCAGCAUCAAGGGUCACAUUUUCAACAAUGGUGGAGCCAAGUUUCGCAACCAGAGAGCAAUGGACCAUUGGUGAUGGACUGGAAAGUGAACCCACCAGACACAUACUUACAGAGAGGGCACCUUUUUUGCAGGCGUAGGCCUGGCAUUGCAACCUGGCACGCAGAGUCAAAGUUCCAUUCAGGUUUGCCCCAGCACUCCUCUGGACAGACAGAGGUCAGGCCAAAUGUCAGAGAGUACAGUACACCAAUGUUGCAGUACACCAAUGAGAAGGGAGCUGGGCUCAGCCCCACUAGGCAGGAGCCACCAAUGCCAGGUUUUUCUUGGAUCAGACUGCAUAUUCCAUCUCACAUACUGACGUCUCCAGAUGUGAUUCAGGAAAACUGAGAAGUCACAUAUAUUUUCCAGUUAAAAUAAUUUUAAAUAUACUCUUAUUUUUGAUUACAGGCCUUUUCCUUCGGCAAUAAAACUGAUGUCUCAAUGCUCCUUGUUCACUUAUUUUUUAUUACUACUAGAAUAGUAAUUACUCUCAUAGCUGAUAAGUCUCAAAUAGUAACAGAUGAAUUUACCCAGCAAAUAUUUAUUGAGUACAGGACCAGAUUUUCAGACAUAUUUAGGUGCCUUACCAAAGUGAGGAGUUAGGCAUCUCAUGGGAUUUUCAAAAGCACGCAAGCAGGUUUGGUUUCCAGCUGCAUCUUCAGUUGCUGCAGAAAAUCUGGCUCGCACUGCUUAAUACCAUGCAUGCUCAUUAGGAAUACCCACAUUUGUAAAGCAAAAGUACAUUUUUGCAGGAUCAGCCCCACAGUGAGAAGCUGGGAAGGAGACAUUGAUAUGAUUGAGAUUAAUAAAGUGUUUAAAUA